GCAAGUUUAAGUGCCUUAAAAACCUACACUUCUACAUUUAGGGGGGGUUUCAGAACACCUAACUGUUAUUAAACGGAUUAGAAUUUGUUGUAACCUGACAAAUUUCCACUUCCAUUUGCCUAGGAAGUAGCACGUCUUCCUCAUUGUCUUUUUUUUUUCUUUUUCCUGACUCUUGACUUUGACCUGGAGGAUGCCUCCCGGUCAGACCCCGCCAUGGUAGCAGAUGACGCUGCCACGUUACGCCACACAACCAUUCUCAGGCUUUUUUUUAACCACAAAUCCACACAAAAUUAAGAAAAUCGAAAAAUAUGAUACUCACUAUUGCCUGUGUAGAUCGCUCAACACCAAAAUGCACUUAAGAACAGUAAAUUGUUUUGAGUUUUUAUUCUUCACUCACCAGCACAGAAAAACCACCUUUCCCACUCGAACGUUGAAUAAAAGCAUAGACAGACGGCCGCGUUGAUCCGGAUUAAUUGCACACUUAAUCUGAUCCAAAUUUUACCCUAACGGACGGCAACAUUGCGGAUUAAGUAAACAGCUGAUUUAGUGGUUUUAUUAUUUUGAGAGUUCUUCAAGUUAAAAUGGACAGAAGACGACAAAUAAAAUUGGCGACUGCGUUGUUGAUAAAAAACGAUUAUUUAUUAAAAAAAAAAAGAUUACAUUACUUUUGCUGAAACUUCUCCAAAACAUAAAAAUAUUCAAUGAAGCAAAGGUAGUGAUGCAAACUAGUACUGCAUUCGCUCAUUCUGAGAUAAGAUCAAGGCCAGUUUGGAAGUUUGACCGUAAUGGCACUUUUUGGGAGUUUGAUGUGUUCAGAAUGGAUGACCACCGAUUCAAGGAAAACUUUCGGCUCAACAAAAGUGCGUUUCAAAAAGUGUGCGAGAAGGUUCAAAGAAUCGAGAAGAUGGACACCAACAUGAGACUUUGCAUCCCUCUUCAUAAGAGGGUGGCCAUUGCAUUAUUUGCACUAGGCUCGUCAGCGGAAUACCGGACCGUUGCCAGCUUAUUCGGUGUAGGACGCAGCACAGUUGUAGAAAUUGUUCUAUAUUUUUGUAACGCAGUUUGUGACAAUUUAUUGGACUGCAUCAAUUCCUAUCCGCCACAUCCCGAAGAACUGAAGAAAAUUGUGCAUGGGUUCGGACAACUGGGAUUUCCCCAAUGUUUUGGUGCUAUAGAUGGCUGUCAUAUAGAGGUUCAGCCAAAAAAAGAGGACGCAAUCGACUAUUAUAAUUAUAAGGGCUGGUAUUCAGUAAAUUUAUUUGCAAGUUGUGAUUAUAGAUCGAAAUUUACCGAUAUACAUGUCGGAUCAAGUGGAAGAAACAAUGAUUCAUACAUUUUCGAAAGCAGUUCUUUAAAAAGUUACCACGAGAACGCUGAUAUUUUUCAACAGAAUAGCAAACGUAUUGGAGGCAUGGAUGUUCCCCUGCUACUUAUUGGCGACUCAGCCUUUCGUUUAUCGCGCUAUUUGAUGAAACCUUUUCCAUUUCACCGAAUCAGCCAGUUGUGGAAAAAACGUUUAACUACCGGUUAUUCCGAUGUCGGCGCGUAAUAGAAAACGCGUUUGGUCAACUUAAAGCUCGAU
This 1582-nucleotide long non-coding RNA is filed under the name Rhagoletis pomonella (apple maggot). RNAcentral's name for it is "uncharacterized LOC118738676". The record is from RNAcentral. Lineage: Eukaryota; Metazoa; Arthropoda; Insecta; Diptera; Tephritidae.